UGCUGGACGUCGUCGAAGGAUAUCUAAUUGAGUGCAAUAACAUGUCCAAACGACCAAUGACCAUGGUACUAUGCAGAUAUAACAUUGAACAUCUAUCACGGAUCUGUCGUGUUUGAAACAAUCCAGAGGACAUUCGCUCCUGGUGGGUACACCUGGAAGUGGUAAAAGAUCUCUGGCUAGACUUGCAGCUCAUAUCAACGAUUUUGAAAUGAUACAAAUUGAGAUGCUGAAGAAGUACUCAGUAGAAGAUUGGAAGCAGGAUGUUAAAAAAAUCAUGCAGAA
Ctenocephalides felis (cat flea) is the source of this 282-nucleotide long non-coding RNA. RefSeq lists it as uncharacterized. NCBI's taxonomy places the organism in Eukaryota, Metazoa, Arthropoda, Insecta, Siphonaptera, Pulicidae. The transcript is spliced from 3 exons. The record is from RefSeq and is a predicted model, not a curated record.